AAACAUUGGUGUUUUAGAUCACAAAAUCCUUGAGUUAAGAGAGUUAUUCAAUAUUCAUAGUUCAAGCACAACUCUCUUUCAACCAAUCUACUUAUUCCCAACUUUCCCUUUUUCUUUUGCAUUGAGCUUUAUCUUUCAUGCUUUUCUUUUCUUUUAUUUUCUAUUCUUCUCAUGCUUUUAUCAUUCAACACAUUUUACUCAAUGCUUUCUCUUUUGCCUUUCAACUUCCCCCAACAACCCCAAACUUGAACCAUACCAUAAAAUAUUUCUCAACAUAACUCAAGGUAAAGAUUUUUAUCAACAAGGUUUUCAAAGUGUAUAGGCUAAGGUUCAAAAAGGGUAGAACACAUGGUUCUCUUUACUUUUGGCGAAAAUUUGGCUAAGUAAGGGUUUCCAAAAAUGGCCUUGAUCAUAUGACAUAAGCAUCCAAUUCAAUCAAUCAUACAGAUUCAGACAAUAUCAUUCAUGCUUUCAAUUGGAUAACAAAUAUAUCAACAAUUACUCUGAAGCUCAAAACCUCACUCAAUUAUGCUUUCUCAAUCAUUCAGUCAUACAUCCUGCUUAGCAUCAUAACCACAAUCAUAACUCAACAUGCACCUGUUCACACAACUUGUGAACAAUUCACCUGUAUAGAAGCAUAUAUAGCAAUCUCAAUUAUCAUCCACAUCAAACAUUAUCAAGCAUACUCAUCAUGCAUUUAAAACAAGUCAAACCACAAUCAGAUAAAAUGUUCAGACAAGUUCACACAAACCUACACUACCCAACUAAAGCAAACCUAUACUACAAAUUCAAAUUACAAAAGAAAAAGAAAAAUAAACCCUGCUUUUAUGCAUAUGACAUCCAUCAGUAGAUGUGAAAUCAGACCAUGCUGUCAUCAUAAUCAUCAUCAUCAUCUCCAACCUCUGCAUCCUCAAAGGCGUCAUCGUCCUCAUCGUCAUCCAUCACUACAGCUUCAGCUACUCUAGAUCCACUGCCCUGUGCCUGCUCUUGUGGCCAUGCCAUAGUACUAUGGAAC
Molecule: long non-coding RNA, 1015 nt
Filed under: Vigna radiata
Lineage: Eukaryota; Viridiplantae; Streptophyta; Magnoliopsida; Fabales; Fabaceae
Description: long non-coding RNA (VRAD_LNC004329)
Source: RNAcentral